AACACGAAAAAGAAAAAAAAGAAGAAAAAGUUGAGCACGAAAAAGAAGAUGGAAAAACUCACUCACCUCACGUCUCUCUCUCUCCCCCACUCAUUUUACUCCACCCACUCUUCUCUCUCUCUCUCUUUCAUAAUAAUGACUAACCCUCUUCUCUUUCUGAUCACUCAAAUUCUCUUUUCAAAAAAAUAAUAAAACGAAAAGAACAAAACUCUUCAUCUUCCUUUCUCUCCACCUCACCUUCUUCCAUCACCAUCACAAAUCUGACUCUCCAAGUAAAUCUUCAUCUUCGCUUCUCCACCUUUGUUUAACCUAACGAAACACCGCGCGCCGCCGCGAUUACAUGCACAACCAAGCACUUCCCUCCUCUCACACACCCUUCACGAUAACCAUCCUUCAUUUUCCGAUAACCCAAACCCUCAGUCACCGGCGAAACCCUCAGAGCAACCACCAUCUCCGUCCGCGUCAAAGCAACGACCUCCAUACCUCCAUCCUCCAUCGAAACGCGCCACGAUCCGAAUCACACAAACAACCUUCACAACCAUGACAAUACCACAUCCCUUGAUGUUUUCUAGAUGAUUGAAAGCGUUUUAAAAUUAUCUACUUCCUAGAUUUGGUUGUUGAUGGUCCGAUGGCGACUUAAAUGCACAAUAGAGCUUUGAGCUCAAUCCAUGGACAUUUCUGCUUGGGCGAGAACAAGGGAGAAAACCUCAUGUUUUCUGGAAGGACGUGAGCGAUAAAGCACAGAAGCAACCACAUCAAUCCUUGGACAAUCGGUUAUGAAAUAUUGGUUCAUGUUGCAAAUGUAUGGUGAGGCGUUGAAAAUAUGUUGCUUGCAACACUUGUGAUAUUGUGCCAGUAAAUGAAGAAUUGGAAAAAGAGAUCUUAUUUAGUUGUUUUUAUAUAACAUUAAUUUAGCAUGAUUGGUUAAUUGUUUUUUUGAGACUUGAGUUUAAAAUUCAGAUUUUGAGUCAUUUGAAUGGUUAAGAGAUGGGCUCGUUCUUUUACUAGCUUAGUGUAUCCUGGCUUUACUAAUAAUAAAUUUCCAUAUGUUGUAUUAAAUUUGUAAGGAUGUGUGCGAUUGAUGUUUCUGUUUGCGUUGCUUGAUAGAAUUUAUAAUCAAUGGACUCGACAAUAUAUGUCGUUAUGCCACCAAAAACCCAAUAUAUCAAUAGAAUAUUUUCACCGCGUUUGGAUCUUGCGAAUCA
Molecule: long non-coding RNA, 1205 nt
Organism: Lathyrus oleraceus (garden pea)
Lineage: Eukaryota; Viridiplantae; Streptophyta; Magnoliopsida; Fabales; Fabaceae
Exons: 2
Source: RefSeq, a predicted model, not a curated record